UGGAGCAUGUGGUUUAAUUCGAAGCAACGCGAAGAACCUUACCAGGUCUUGACAUCCCCUGACAACCCGAGAGAUCGGGCGUUCCCCUUCGGGGGACAGGGUGACAGGUGGUGCAUGGUUGUCGUCAGCUCGUGUCGUGAGAUGUUGGGUUAAGUCCCGCAACGAGCGCAACCCUCGACCUUAGUUGCCAGCAUUCAGUUGGGCACUCUAAGGUGACUGCCGGCUAAAAGUCGGAGGAAGGUGGGGAUGACGUCAAAUCAUCAUGCCCCUUAUGACCUGGGCUACACACGUGCUACAAUGGGCGGUACAAAGGGUCGCGAACCCGCGAGGGGGAGCCAAUCCCAAAAAGCCGCUCUCAGUUCGGAUUGCAGGCUGCAACUCGCCUGCAUGAAGCCGGAAUCGCUAGUAAUCGCGGAUCAGCAUGCCGCGGUGAAUACGUUCCCGGGCCUU
Molecule: ribosomal RNA, 450 nt
Filed under: uncultured Anoxybacillus sp.
Lineage: Bacteria; Bacillati; Bacillota; Bacilli; Caryophanales; Anoxybacillaceae
Description: bacterial SSU rRNA
Rfam family: Bacterial small subunit ribosomal RNA
Source: RNAcentral